UACACUGAGUCAGAUAGUCUGCUCUCUCAACUUAAAUCAUUAGAACAAAUUAAUAAACUCAAACCAACUAAAAAUCUAUCCCAAAAUAUCGAAAAGUUAAGGGAAAGACUACUCGAACUAUCCCUGAUAGGUGUGGAACGGCAGCUCCGCAAGUUAAAGCUCGCCUAUUAUAUGCAAGGGAACAAGGCAGGCAAACUGCUUGCAAAACGGCUAAAAUCCCGAUACAUACAAUCUAAACUUCCGUAUAUGACUUCAUCCACUGGGUCAAAACUAUUCAAUCCACAAGAUAUAGUAGACGAACUGGCAAAUUUUUAUAAGGGAUUAUAUAACCUUACACAGGACAGGACCUUACAUCAACCAAUAGAUUCAGAGGCAGGGUCAAAACUCCCCAAAGCCACGUCCUUG
This is a non-coding RNA of Pelobates cultripes (western spadefoot toad), 405 nucleotides long. The record is from the annotation of a GenBank genome assembly. NCBI's taxonomy places the organism in Eukaryota, Metazoa, Chordata, Amphibia, Anura, Pelobatidae.